Candidatus Synechococcus spongiarum is the source of this 85-nucleotide transfer RNA. It matches the Rfam family "tRNA". From Rfam's summary of the family: Transfer RNA (tRNA) molecules are approximately 80 nucleotides in length. Their secondary structure includes four short double-helical elements and three loops (D, anti-codon, and T loops). NCBI's taxonomy places the organism in Bacteria, Bacillati, Cyanobacteriota, Cyanophyceae, Synechococcales, Synechococcaceae. The record is from Rfam.
GGAGGGGUGGCCGAGUGGUUGAAGGCAACGGUCUUGAAAACCGUCAACGUGCAAGCGUUCGUGGGUUCGAAUCCCACCCCCUCCA